ACACAACAGCAUCUAUAGCCUUUAUAAAACUCCCAGGAACUGCCUUAAGGAAAUAAUCGACGGGCUCAUGAGGAUUCCCCCUAAAGCUAUACCCCUCAGGUAAUCCAUCCCAUACAUUAAAAGGCUUAAUUUUAUCAUGGUUUUUGCUAAAAGUUGAGUUGUUUGAUUGUUGGGUGCUAAGGAAGGAAAACAUGGUGUCGGGGCAAGCGUCUGAUAGUUGACGGGUAAUGUUGAGAAGAGGGACCGCAUGGGUGCCGAAAGGGAAAGCCAACACUGCUAUGUGUUUAGAAGCAUUCUUGUAGCCUUCCAUUGGAUAUUCUUUCUCUAUUCUCUCUGCAAAGAUAAGAAGGGACUUGUUUUUCUCCAAGCUUGUGAGUUAUGGAAAUAGAUGAACUGUACUUAUACUAGUAAAGGGAAAACAAGAAACAAUUAAGGCCGAUAGUUAGGGACUUAAAGUAUGCGGGACAUAAAAUAUGUGGUUUUACAAGCAACCGUCAUUUUCACUCUUCAAAAAGUAGACUUAGUUGAAUGCCAUGUUACGUGGAAAUUUAAGUUCCAUUAAUUGGUUAAUGUAAAAAUUAUUAUUUGAUGUGGAUUGAGUUUUAGUUCGAUUAGUGCGAGUAUUACUGUUAAUGUAGAAGAAGAUGAAUUUGAGUUAUAGGUUGUGGAAAGACUAGUAUUCUGUUAAAAAGAGUACAAUAUUAUUUAAUUAAUGAGAAAAAAUUAGAAUUUAAUUUGUUUUCUUUUUCCAAAAAGUUAAUUUAGUUUAUUUAAAUAAAGUUAAUCUAACUAUAUAUCAUAAGUGAAACUUUUAUGUAAUAAAAUUUAUAAAAAAGUUGGUAUAAUAAUUAAAUAUGAAUUUAGUUAAAAUAGUAAAGUUAAGGUAAUAAAGACUAUUGUAUUUUGGGUUUAAAUCUUGUUACGUAUAUAUUUUUCUAGAUUUUAUAUAAAAUUGUAAAAUAAUAAAAAUGUCUUUAAAAAUAUAUUUGUAGCUUUAUAAAAAAAUAGAGUAAAUUCCAUUCAUAAUUAUUCUUAAAUAGAGUUUGUCAUAUUUUGGUCACUAAUUUUUUUUAAUUUAAUCAUUCUAAUUAAAGGAAUUUACAAAUUAGUCACUGUCGUUAAAUUUUCUGUCACCCUCUAACAGAUUGCACAAUAAUCAAUCCACCUAAAUUUUUUCCAUGUAAUCCUCUACGAUUAUUUGCUUAUUUAUAAAUUUGAUGUGUUUUGUGCAAAUGUUGAUCGAAAAUAUAUAUAUUUUUUUGUAAAUUAUAAAGAGGAGGGUAAAGCCUUAACAGCAAUGUGACUAGCAUGACUCGAAUUUAAGCUACACUCGAAGCGAUAAACACUCUGAUUAUUAGGCUACCAUACGAGGUUCAAUUGAAAAUAAUUUUGAAACAUGGUUCAUGUGUUAUUUUCCAUAGAUUGUGCCGUUUGAGGGUUUGUUUGUUAUGGGUUUUGUGCGAAUGUUGAGAUAAUUAUUUUAGUUUAGGUUCUUGUUUGUUUUUGUUGUAUUGAAAAGUGCAUGUAUUGUUAGAGCUUGGGAAUGAAACUUUUGUUUAGAUUGUUGAGUUAAUCGUGGUCGGGGUUGUUGAUGCACUAAAAAUUGAUGAAAUAUGGACUGAUAUAAGAGGAGAUGGCCUGCCAUUUUUGAAUUAUUACUGGUGUAAAUUUUUUGGUCUUUGUGCGCAGUGUCAUAUAAUAGAAAAUUAAUAGGAAGUUGGACCAUGUGGUCCAUGGCUUUUUCUACUUGCAAAUGAAGAAAAAGGUAGGUGAGAAAGUUUGUAAUAAUUAGCUUUUCAGUAGUGUUGGAAAAGUCAGUUUCGAAAUUUUAUUUUCGUAAAUUGUGUAUAGAGUUGGUGUUAAAAUAUAUUAAAGUUUGAUCUAAUAAUUUUGUUGAACUAAUAGAUAAUUUAGGUGCAAAGAUUAAAUUGUAAAAAAUUAAUCAUUAUAGAUUUUUAAUUAGCUAAAUGUUCAAAAUUGUAAAUAAACUAUUUUGUUACAUCAAAUAGCGGAUGAUACGUUAACAUCCUCUAAUUUUGAUUAAUGUUUAAUUAAUUAAUGUUUAAUGAAUUAAGAUUUAAACCAAGUAUAUAAAGGUGAGAUAGUGCAAAAUUGUCAUAUUUCUUUCUUCUUCUCCACCGUUUGAACAUGAAAACCUAAGGGAAAGACCAUUUUUUAACUCAAAGCAAUUGAUCCCUAAUUGGUAAGCUUUUCCAAGUCAUUUUUUUAUAAUUUUUAUGUGUUUGAGGUCACGGGAGCUCGAUUUAGCUAGCCCAUGUACCAAUUUACAAAACUAUUGAAGUUUUUAAAAGUUUUCAUUGUUGAUUUCUUGAAUAAAUUGGUGUUAACUUGAUAGAUUUUAAGCUUAGAUUAUGAAAAAGGACUAGAUUGUAAUGUUUAAUUGAUAGUUUUGUACAUAAGGACUAAAGUGAAUAAAAUGUGAAAUUGAGGUGGAAUUUUGGUAUAAAUAGAGAGUAGAAGGUUUGUAAUGAAUGUAAUUAAAUUCAGAUUUUAAAGUCAGGCUUAAAAUUGAAAGAUAUUGUCAUUUCGAUUUUAGGGACUAAAUUGACUAAAAAGUAAACAUUUAGGUGUAUCAAAAAAUAAGAUUGUAUAGGUUCAUUCAUGUCAUAGCAUAUUGCAUAAAUUUUUUAUUUUGACGGAUUGGAUGGAAUAAGUGUAUAGAAAAGAAUUGGAUCAAACCGGUAAUAAUCCAAGAAAAAACCAAAAUUGUCAAUUAGUCCCUGAAGAUUCAACUUGUUUGUUGUUUUGGCCAAGUAAGCUCAUAUGGUAUUUAUUUAUAUAGAUUGUUGUGUAUUAUUGUGAUUAUAUAAGUGUUUGGUUGUGAAUUUGAUCAAAAGGUGAGAUUUGGACUAAAUUGAAAAGUAAUGUUAAUAUGUGUAAUAGAUGCCCAUAUGAACUUAGUAAAAGUUAGGAUACGGUUGGCAUGCCAAUAGGAUUUUGUGCACACCUUUACGAGAUUGAUUACAGAUGUUACCAAGAUCCAACAUUUGUUAUGGACUCGCAAAUACAUUUAACACAGGUUUAGCUCGGACGAGUAACCUGAUGUCAUGUUAAAGGGUUAGCUCGGACAGGUAACUUGACAUGUAUGUAUACUUAGCUUGGAUAAACAUUCAGAUGUGUUGAUAUAAAGGUUUAGCCCAAAUGGGUAACCUGACACGAAUAUAUAUAUUCAUCUCGGACAAGCAACUGGUGUGGUGUAAUUACCUGUGUAUCCAAGUCUGUUUUCUAGGGUUCAUUGGGUGAAAUAGUUUAUAUGAAAUGAAAAUUAAUGAUGUUGAUGUUCACUUAAAUAAAUGUUGAAUUGAACUUGAAUAAUGUAUUGGAAAAAUGUCAUGAAUAUGUAUAUGAUUACAUUAUCCCUUGAAUGAAUGAGUUUGGAAUCAGUUAUACAAAAUGACAUGAAUUGGUAUGGUAAGUGAUUGAGUUGCCAUGUGGUUUGAUUACAUGUUAAUACUCACCUUAUUGAUGCUUUGCUUUGCCAUGUUUAGCCAAACCAUGUCAAGUUAAGGUUGUUUAUUGUAUUUAGAUAGAAUAUGAGGUAAGUUUUGUUUAAUGCCUAUGAACAGCAUCUUAUAUGCUUACCUAGUUUGUUUUCGUAACAACCCGAUAGUCACGAGUGUCGAAAAGUACAUUUCUGAAACUCCGUUACCGUAAAUCAAACUCGUAAAUAUUUAUUAAAAAUAUUGACGAAGUUAGUUGUGUAGUUAAUUAGGUUUUCGUUAGGUGAAAUUGCAUGAAUUAAGAGUAACUAGGUAAAAAAAAGACUAAAUUGUAUAAAAGGUGAAAGUUGAAUUUUAGAUUAAAGAAAAAUUAAAGGGACCAAAGGAGCAAUUAUGCCAAUGGUCAUUAUUAAGGCUGCAUAAGUGUAUAUAUAUUAUAAAUACUUAAAGUUAAUAUAUAUAUUAUAAUAUUAUAAUAUUAAAACUUAAAAGUUAAGUAUAUAUAUUAUUAUAUUAUAAUGAUAAAGUAAAAGAAAAAGAAAUAGAAAAAGAAGGAGAGAAAGAAACGAAACAGAGAAGGAAACGAAAUAGAGAAGGAAAGAAAGAAAAGAAAGAAGGAGAAAAGUUAGGGUUUCAAGGGUUCAAAGCUCAAUUGGUUAGUCAAUUUAGUCCAUUUUCUUGUAAUUUUUAUGUUUUUGGAAUUCCGGUAUUAAAUACUACCCGACCCAUGUCAAAAUUUUAGAAAUAUUAAGUUUUUAACUGAUGUUUAUGUUGAAUAAUUUUAGUAUUAGAUAUUAAAUUGAUAGAUUUUUAAGUUAGAAAUGGAAAAGGAUUGAAUUGUAGAAUAAAUUGUAAAUUUUGAGUAUUAGAGACUAAAUUGUGAAAAUUAGAAAUUUAAGGAUUUAAGUGAAAUUAUGGAGUUAAAUCUAGUCUAAAGUGGAAUUUGUAUGAAAAUAUAAGAUUGAUUGUGAAGAAAUAAAAUUAGUCUCGGUUUAGGGACUAAAUUGGAAUUUAGGCAAAUAUUGAGUAAAAAUUGAAAUAUUAAAUAUGAGAUUUAAUUGUGUUGUAUUGAUGAAUUUUAAUUGUUUUAAUUCCGUAGCUAACGUCAUACCAGAAUCCUUAACUAAAAAGAGAAAAGAUAAAUUCGACGAGGAAUAGCUCGAAAUUUCUAGUUUGUAUUUCUAUAAUCCAAAGCUAGUUAUUAAUUGUUGUAAUAUUUAUUUAAUGUAUAUGGUAAGUGUUGAGGUGAGUAAUUGAUAUUUUGAUAUUUGAUUGAAUGAAUUGAAUUGGUAGAUAUAUGUAUUGAAUGGAUUGAUUUUUUUUGAAUUGAAAUGAAUAUAUGUGAAAUUAAACCCUAUUAACUGUAUCGGGUUGAGUCAGAUAUAGAUGGCAUGCCAUAGGAUUGGAAGAGUUUAGGGAUUUAUUCGACGUCGAGUCGAUGAGACACUGGGUGUCAAUUUAUUACUUCGGAUUAAUUCGAUGAGGCACUGGGUGCCAAUUUACUUCAGUUUAACUGAUGAGACACUGGGUGUCAAUUUAUUACUUCGAAUUAUCCGAUGAGGCACUGGGUGCCAAACUGGUGUGUUUUGGUUGGAUUCGUGUAUCCGUUUGAGUCCGAGUCAUGUUAAUAGGGGUAAAUGAAUAAUAAAGUCUUAUAAUUGAUAUUGAAAUGGAAUGAUAUGAGAAAUGAAGUGGAAUAGUGAAUUGAAUAUGGUAUGUAUAAAGCAAUUGCAUAAAUGAAAUGUGAUUAAAAUUGUGAAAAGUUAUUUCUAUAGCAAGUGAUGGAAAAUUUAGUAUUGUAUGGUUUUAAAUGUUCAAUUGUGCUUAACAUUUUAUUAUACAUAUUAUAUUGUUUUAUUUUUAAAUAUUCGGAUUAUAGAAAUACCACUGAGUUUUUACUCAGCGUACGGUUUUGUUUUUCGUGCGCAAGUUAGGUACUUAAUUUUGAUCGCCGAUUCAGUAUCCAACAACGAUCCUGAACUCAAACAUGGUGAUGUUUUUCUUUUUGUGUUGGCAUGUACUUAGGGUGUCUAAAUAUUAAUCAUUUUGCUGAUUGAUUGUAAAUAAGAUUAUAAGUUAAUAUUGGAUGGUUAUAUACAUAUAAAUAUGUGUUUAUGUUUAUGUUUGAGGUCAUAUUAUGACAAAUUUUAGUUAAUGUUUAAAUGAACAUGAAAUGGGUAAAAUAAAUUGAAAUUGGCAUGUUUACAAAUUGGAUUUGAAUGAUGUUUUAUUGGUAUGUUUUGAUGAUAUAAUUGUGGUACCUAUGAGGAUACAUUGGUUAGGCACCUAGGAUGAUUGUUUUGACAUAUUUUGGAUGUGUUUGAUUGUGGUUUGAAUUGGUUAAACGAAUGAUUUUUGAGUUGCUUAUUGUUCAAGCUUGCAGGGAAUGGUAAACUUGUUGCUAAAGGUAUAUUUUAAGUCCACACGGCCAGACACACGGGCAUGUGAUUGGACUGUGUGAGACACAUGGCCUGACCACACGGGCGUGUGAACCCUGCAGCUUUAAAAUUUUUUAAUAUUUUUCAAAAAAUUCUCUAAGUCUCCGAAUUAGUCCCGAUUGUUUCUAACGCGUAUUUUGGGCCCCGAGGGCUCAAAUAAUGGACAUUAUGUAUGAAUUUAAUUCGUUUUUGAUCUGAAUAUUAUAUGAUAUCAAUAUUUAAAUUUAUGUCUAUUUGAUUGACAAGCUUCAGUAAUGCUCUGAAACCUUAUUCCGGUGAAGGAUGUGGGUUAGGGAUGUUACAGUUUUCCUUUUCCCUUGUAGGUCGUCACCUUGCAAAACUUGUCAAGCCAGAUCGUUUUAAAGCUCACACUAUCCUAUCACAACAGCUUUUUAUUUAUUUAUAUUGAGUCAGUAUUGUGGCUUGUAUAUUAGGUUAAGGUGUUAAUGAAAUGGUCACUUUCUAAUUCAUAUGGAAUGUAUGAUGUUGUGGCAAAUGUGGAAUGUAUGAAAGGUUUGGUAUGUAAUAUAUGGUGUAUGGAUCAACUAUGCUUGAUGUGGUUUAGUACAUGAUUUUAAACUUGAACAUGUCAUGUAGAUAUGCUAUAAAUUACAUAUAGAUGAUAUGGUAAGUUGAAUGAGUAUAUAAGCUUAUAUGUUUGUCCUUAUAAUGAAAAUGAGAUGGCUUGUUUGAAUAUGAAUUGACAUAGUGAAGAUUGGUAUUUGGUUGGUUGGUUUGGAUAAACAGAUAGUUUUGUAAUAGGUUGAGCUUAUAUCGAAUUGGUUUUGAUUAGAAAUGUUUAAAUGACUUGUUUUGGUAUGAAAUGUUAUGAGUUUGGAAUGUUUUUAGGUGAGCAUAAUGGUUGGUUUGAUUGGAAAUUGUGAAAUAGGUACCAAAUGACUCAUUUUUAUCAUACAGGGUCUUCAUCUUGAUAAGCAUCUUCCCUCAUCGCAACAUUGGCUGACAGUAUGUGACGUCACGACAUCGAGUAGCCUGACGUCGUGAUGUGACAUACUAUUUUGGCGACAUAACGACGUGGAAAAGAUGAUGUCACAACGGUAAUGGUGAAUGGUGAAUGGCAACAACGGUCAUGGUGAUUGAUGACCAAAAACUGAAAAAAAGUUUCUAAUUUUUGGGUUUUUGAGAGAUUUAUAGAGAGAAUGAGAUGUGAGAGGGGGGGAGUGAACAUUGGCAAUUAAGUUUUAUGUUGGCACAUAUCAGAAAUUGAAAGCAUGCAAGCAGUAGAUGCCGACAAAAACAGUGGUGGAAGUCACAAUAAAUUUUUGUAGAUUUGGAGUUUUGUGAUUAAUUUUAAGAAAAAACCAAGAUGGGAAAGAAAAAAGAGGAGAACUGGAUGAUUAUUUUGGUGAAGAAUGACAUGAUUCUGGAUUGUUCACUGUUGGGGUGGCAAUCGUUACUGAAAUUUGGAAUUUAAAAAUGAUUUUUUUGGCAAACAAUGAAGAUUCUGUUUGAAUGUUCUUCCCAAAGUAAAGAGAGAGGCAGCACAUUUAACGCUUUUGGUUUUUUAAUAUUUUUACAAAAAUAAAAACAUAAUUUAAUUUAUUAAGGGAAUAUUCAUCAUUGAGUACUUUUUGUGCUAUUACAUAUCUAUCCCUUUCAGUCAAACACACGAAUACUAUUACAAUAGUCAUUCCAUUAUAUCCAACUAAACCAUUGAUAUGCUUAUGAUCUAUUUCAUUACAGUGUUAUUCUAUUCCUAUAGAAUGACUAUUCCAUUACAACCUUUUUCCAAUUCAGUGAACCGAACGUGUCGUAAGGUAAGUGAUUGAUUUCAUUAUGUGGUUACCAUCAAAGAUCCCCGACAAUAUCUCAUUCAAUCCCCCUACAAUUUUUCCUUUUCUUUCUUCACUAAAAACUUGUUUUCCCCUUUCAUUUUUAUUUCUUUGAUAUUUUCCAUCAAGCUUUGGGAACUUCGUUUUGCUCUCUUGAUAUCAAGAAUAAAAGGUAGGAGAUUAUUGAAAUUAAAUUAUAUAUUUUUACGAUAAUAAAAAUGUAAAAAAUUUAAAAUUUAAUACGAAAAUUAAAGAAUUAUAUUUUUUAAUAUGUUGUUCAAAAAUCUGAAUUUUAUUUAUUUAUUUCUGGUAGAAAAUAAUUAGAUUAGAGUAUCAUUAAUGUUAUUUAUGGAAAUUUAAGAUUGACUAUUCUUUAUUAAAAUAUACAACUACUUGUUACUAUUCAAAUAUGCAAAAACCGAUUUAGGCUUUUGUUUUUCUUUUUGUUUCAUGAUGAUGAUGAUGGUACCGAUCCCACAUAUGCACUAGUGCUGGUAUAUGUUAGGGCAAGCACAGCAUAUCAAUAAGGAAAUGUUGGUAGAGGAAAGCCUUGGACCGGAAUUACCAACCUCAAGAUGUUUGGUCAACAAUAUUUUAAUCAUCCACUAACUUGGUGGUAAGUGUUAGAGACAAGUUUCACCAGUGUUUUGAAAUUUUCAUUAGAGCUACGAUUGGGUUUAACAGCCUUGCAAGCCAGCUCUUUUUGAACUCUAAUUUUCUCUUUCAUUUUCUUCCCUUCUUGGCUGCACAAUAUCAACUUCAAUGCUUUCUUUGCUCCUUCUUUUGUCAAUGUUCCACCUUCUAACCCCAACCCGAAUCCCCAUACAACCUCCACUGUACGAGUGUUCAAUUGUUGGUCUCCAAAAAAUGGCCUGCAGAUCAUAGGCACACAUCCAUUAAUACUUUCCAGGACUGAAUUCCAUCCACCAUGACUUACAAAAACCCCAACUGAUGGAUGUUCCAAUAUUUUCUGCUGCGGAGCCCAUGGAACUAUCUUUCCUUCGGAGCUGGUUCUUUCCAGGAAUCCUAGUGGCAGCUGUUUCUCAGGACUUCCCCUCAAAGACCAAAGAUAUGGAAACUCACAUUCUUCCAGGGCUUCACAUAAUGCAUGUAGCUCAUGGGGUGGUGGGGUUAUCACGCUUCCAAAGCUGAUGUAUACCACCGACGCUGCCUCAUGCUUGCUCAUCCAAUCCAAGGUCCCAUGCGAGUCAUCCACUGUGGAACUGGAAACUGAUACCAGAUUGAAGGGACCAACGUUGAGGAACGUACUGAAUCUUAAUUUCAGCAUGUUCACCACUGUAUUAUCCAAGUCUUCAUAUGAAUUUGUGGCAACUGCCGCGGCGCGUGACAGUGACACUCCCAUUUUAUACAACAAUGCCGGCAUGGGGGCGUCAAUGUCUCCGGAGGUUAAUCCAUUGGGUAAGUCAGCAACACGUAUGCUAGAAAAAUGGGGAAGAAAAUGAAGUGGUUUGUCUUUAGGACCUGCAAAUUUAUGAAUAUUCAUAUUUUUUCAGCACCCAAUUUUUUUUUAAAGAUUAAAGUAUAAUUUUAUUGUAUACUAAUUUAAAAUUUUAUAAAUUAUAAAAUGGAAUUAAUUUUUAAAUUUUUAUUAUAGUUAAUUUUUUUAUAUUUUUUUAUUUAAGUUUUUUUUCUUUGAUUAAAGUUUUUAAUUAUGUAAGUUAAUUAAAGAGCAGAAAGGAUAUAUGAUGAGUGUCUAAAAAUUAAGAAUUUUAGAAUCUUUCUAAUAUAAGUUAUAGGUUAACAUAUUAAAAAAAUCCUUAAACUAUUCUACUUUGUUUAAACAAUCCCUUAUACUAUUUUAUUAUUUUUGUACUUAAAUAAACCCCUAAACUAUGAUUUUUACCCACAAAAGUUCUUGAUUUUAAUACUGAAGGUAAAAAUAUUUAAAAAAUUUAAACUAAUUUGCAUUUUAUGUUGAUGUGAAUUUUUUGAGAAUAUUUUAUUAAAUAAAAAUAAAAAAUAUUUUAAAAAUUCUUGAAAGUGCUUAUAUAUAAAACACAAUUAAUUACUCUUUUAAAAAUUUUGAUUACUUUCUAAAAUUAUAUGUUGAUGUUAAAAUGUAUAUAAUUUCUAUUGCAUCAAUAAGAAAUUAAGAUAAGAGCUUGAAAUUUAAAAUAUAUUUAUUUUAAUAUUAAAAUCAAGAACUUUUAUGAGAAAAAAAAAUAGGUUCGAGUUUAUUUAACUACAAAAAUAAUACUAUAAUAGUUUAAUGGAGAUUUUUUUUAAAAAUAUAUUAGCUUUCUGUAAAUUCUUCAAAAAUCCUAUUGUUUGCAAUUAAUAUGCUUCACAGUCAAAUAUUUAAUUAAUUGAUUUUGGACCAACCAGCCUACCAAAAGUCUUAUUGUUAAUUGUAACAAUAAUAAAGUUUUUCUCUUUCAUGCAUGAAAUUGGUAAGUUUACGAGCUAGUAUGUUAAAACCUACCUACCUAAUAAAAACCAUCAAUAUCCUACCUCUCACAAAAAAGGGAUUCAAAAGUUAUUAAGCUAGUUAGGGUGAGUAAAUUUUUUUUUGAGAUUAAAAUUAAAUUGUAUAAUUUUACCAUUUUAAUAAUCUAUAUCGUAUGAAUCCUUACCGUUAAUUCCUACAUAGUGGCGAAUAAUAUCGGAGUUGACAUGAACGAAGAGUGCCCUGGGACUAGCAGUCCAAAGAGCCACCCAAGGGAUGUUAAGCUCAUCCGCGAUAUCAGCCCCAAACGCAUAAAAUGCAUCUGUUAUCAAAAAAUCAAUUGGUUUACCAGUUUCAAACACAACAACAUCUAUAGCCUUCAUAAAAUUUCUAGGUACCGCCUUAAGGAAAUAGUCGACAGGCUCGUGAGGGUUCCCCCUAAAAGUAUACCCCUUAGGUAAUCCAUCCCAUACAUUAAAAGACUUAAUUUUAUCAAGAUUUUUGGGAAAAGUUGAGUUGUUUGAUUGUUGGGUGCUAAGGAAGGAAAAAAUGGUGUGGGGGCAGGCGUCUGAUAGCUGGCGGACGAAGUUGAGAAGAGGGACAGCAUGGGUGCCGAACGGGAAAGCCAACACUACUAUGUGUUUAGAAGCAUUCCUGUAACUUUCCAUUGGAUAUUCUCUGAGGGAAUUUCUUGUUCUCCAAGAUUUGUGAGUUAUGAAAAUUAGAUGAAAAACUAUACUUAAACUAAUAAGAAAAAACAAGUUUUGGUUGAUAGUUUGCAUUACGUUGGGACUUGAAAUAUGUGGUUUUGUACAUGCAACCAUCAUUUUCAUUUUUCCAGAAACCAAUGUUAGUUGUAGGGAUUGUUACGUCCAAAUUUAAGUUCCAUUAGUUAGUUAAUUUAAAAGAAUUCCUUUGGUGUGAUGUAAUUACUUGUGUAUCCAAGUUCGUUUUCUAGGGUUCAUUGGGCGAAAUAGUUUAUAUGAAAUGAGAUAUUUGAAAUGAGAAUUAAUGACGUUGAUGUCCACUUGAAGAAAUGUUGAAUUGAACUUGAAUAAUGUAUCAGAAAAAUGUCAUGAAUAUGUAUGUGAGUACAUUAUCCCUUGAAUGAAUGACUUUGGAAUCAAUUAUACAAAAUGACAUGAAUUGGUAUGGUAAGUGAUUGAGUUGCCAUGUGGUUUGAUUACAUUUUAGUAUCACCUUAUUGAUGCUUUGCUUUGCCAUGUUUAGUCAAACUAUGUCAAGUUAAGGUUGUUUAUUGUAUUUAGAUAAAAGAUGAGGUAAGUUUUGUUUAAUACCUAUGAACUUAUUAAACAUCCUAUAUGUUUACCUAGUUUGUUUUCCCUUUCUCUUAUAGGUCGUCACCUUGCGGAACUUGUCAAGCCAACUCAUUUUGAAGCUCACACUAUCCUAUCACUGAAUUAGUAGCUUUUUUGUUUUUAUCAUUUUGAGUCAGGAUUGCGCCAUGUAUAUACUGUAACACCCCUAACCCGUAUCCGACGCCGAAAUAGGGUUACGGAGCAUCACCAGACUUAAAGAUCAAACAAUCAUACAUUUCAUUUGCAUAACACAUUUGAUUUAGAAACCAAUCAAAUUCGUUCAUAUAGUCCCUAAUAUGAGUCCUCGAGGCCCAAAAUAGACAUUAAAAACAAGUCGUGACUAAACUGAGAACUUAAAGAAAUAUUUCGGAAAACAUAGAAAAUUUUCAAAGUGCAGGGGAUACACGACCGUGUCUCAGGCCGUGUGGGUAAUCGAAAUAGGGACACACAGCCGUGUCUUAGACCUUGUCCGCACCUGUGUAACUCACUGACUUGGGUCACACGGCCAAGCCACACGCCCAUGUGCUAGACCAUGUGAAAACUAGAGGGUAUACUGACUUGUGUCACACGGCCAAGUCACACGCCCGUGUGCUAGGCCGUAUGAGGCUACUGACUUGUUUUCUAAAGAGGUUACAGGGGACACACAGCCGUGUCACCUGGCCAUGUGUCACACACGGCUGAGACACAUGCUCCUGUCUCUGCCCGUGUGGACGAAAAUAGGCCAUGUUUCAAGCCAUAUUUCUCACCCAAAUUUGAACCAACCUAAAUCAAUAAUUUGCAUAUAACCAUGACACAUUUAGACAUUUAAAACCAACCAACAUCAAGCUUAUAACACGAUAACAUCACACACAACUAUGAUACUCAUAAGCACCUCCAUUGGCCACUUUAAAACAUAACAAUUAUGCCUACAAAAUCCACAUAAAUGAUCAAACACAUAAAUGCAUUUUCGUGCCUAAAACUUAACAUGUAUAUCACUUAUCAACCUCAACUAUUUGGUACCCAAGAUACCAAUUCACAACUAGCACACACUCACAUUAUAAACAUACACCCAUAUGAUAAGGCCAUUUACACAUAUAAAUAUACAUAACAAAAUAUACCUAAAUACAAGCCAAAAUCAAAUGGCUAAAAACAUGACAAUACAAAUAGACUACCAUUAGCCAAAAUAACCUAUACAUGCCAUUAAAACCAAAAUGCAUAACCAAAAGUACCAAAAUAGUCGAUAGAUAGUGUGAUGAGAUCUCCGACAACUUCCAAUUCAAACGAGCUUUUGAAACACUAUAAAACACGAAAAAUAACACAGAGUAAGCAAUUAAGCUUAGUAAGUUUGUAUAACUAACUAAAAAUAUAACUUACCUUUCAACCACAAUUUAGGCAAGUAAAUUAAAUCAUAACACAAUUCAAUUUGGCUUCAUUAGCCUAACACAUAUCCAACAACCAAGUUAGCAUGAAUUCAUUUGUCAUAUACAUACCAUUUCCAAGUAAUUCACUUAAAUACCUGUAAUAGUUCAUAUCAAACUCAUAUAACUUCGUAACUGAAUUGUUCCCGUUGAACCACUUAGAAUAAUAUCGGAUACGCGGGUAUCUCGCACACUAUGUUUCAAUAUGUGGUCAAAACCACCAUGAUCUCAUUUCAAUGCUCUCUCUCGAGCCAUAACUAGGUCUGCUCACACAAGCUGUCAAUCAAGACGUAGCUACAUGGUGCUGCUCACACAAGCUGUAAAGUAACCGCAACACAUGCUAGAAACUCAACCACCAGUAGGACGUACGAGACUAGCACCCAAAACACGGUAACCCCUAAUGACAUGUCAUUUGUAUCUUAUAUAUUCCUAAGGUUCAAACGAGAUCCGAAAGUCGCCGAAACUUUGUUAGAUAUUUCCGUAGAGUCGUAUCAUCAAGAAUAUAACAUAAAAGCAUUUAAAUAAAACAUAAUUUAAUGCUAUUUAAGUAUACGAACUUACCUCAAACUUGUACGGAGAAAAAUAAUUGUUCAGUCCAAAACUUUAUCUUUUCCCCGAUCUAAUUCUGUAUAUUGCUUUUCUUGAUCUAUAUAAUCAAAUUUAACUAAUUUAAACCUCAUUCUAAUCAAUUCAAUCCAAAAAUCAAGUUUUGGAAAAAUUACCAUUUUGCCCCUAUACCUUUGAUUUCUUUACAAUUUAGUCUCUAGGCUCGUAAAAUGAAAUUCAUGCAAUUUCACUCUUACCCAAGCCUAGACAAAUUCUAUACAUGCUUAUAGCAGCCCAUACAUUUCACAAUUUCACACAUUUACCACACAAUUUAUCACAUUUCUCAAUUUAAUCCCUAAUGACAAUUUCAUCAAAAAUCACUUAACAAAAGUUGUUUAACUCACAAAAAAGAUUCAUUUUAUUCCAUUAAACUUCACAAACAACUAACAUGCAUUCAUGGUAAAAACCUAGACAUUCAACAGUUUUGCAAAUUAGUCCCUAGGCUAGCUAGAUUAUGCUACAACGAUUACGAAAACAUAAAAAUAAUUAAAAACAGAACAAAAAUUACUCACAUGCAAAGAGAUAUCCCUAGCCGAACCUAACAAGAUUCCAUGGGGUUUCUUUCUUUUAUUUUUCGGUGGAAGAAGAAGAACUAAAGAUGAUAUCUUUUGCUUUCCCUUAAUUUACAUUAACAUAUUUAUUGAUUUACUAAAUUAACCUAAUUAAUUAACCUUAUAAUCACUUCAUUUUAUGUCCAACUUUGUCCACUAGUAAUGUUAAUGGUCUAAUUAUCAUAUAAGGACCUUUACUUUAAAGUUCUAUAGCUAUUUAAUACCUUUAGCUAAUAGAACACAACUUUUAUAUUUUACGUGAUUUAGUCUUUUUCAUCAAAUUGAACAUGCAAAUGGUAAAAUUUCUUAUUGAAAUUUUUAUAUGAUAAUACUAUCAUGCUUUAGAUCAUAAAAUAAUAUUAAAAUAAAAUUUUCAAUCUCGUAUUUGUGGUCUCGAAACCACUAUUUCAAUUUCUGAAAACGGGUUAUUACAUAUAUGGUUAAUGUGUUAAUGAAAUGGUCACUUUCUAAUUCAUAUGGUAUGUAUGAUGUUGUGGCAAAUGUGGAUUGUAUGAAAGGUUUUGUAUUUAAUAUAUGGUCUAUGGAUUACCUAUGCUUGAUGUGGUUUAGUACAUGAUUUAAAACUUGAACAUGUCAUGUAGAUAUGCUAUGAAUUACAUAUAGAUGAUAUGGUAAGUUGAAUGAGUAUAUGAGCUUAUAUGCUUAUGUACUUGUAAUGAAAAUGAGAUGGCAUGUUUGAAUAUGAAUUGGCAUAGUUAAGAUUGGUAUUUGGUUGGUUGGUUUGGAUGACAUUUGAUUGUUUGUAUAGAAAUGGAUAGUUUUGUAAUAGGUUAAGCUUAUAUUGAAUUGGUUUUGAUUAGAAAUGGUUACAUGACUUGUUUUGGUAUGAAAUGUUACGAGUUUGGAAUGUUUUUAAGUGAGCAUAAUGGUUGGUUUGAUUGGAAAUUAUGAAAUAGGUACCAAAUGACUCAUUUUUAUCAAAUACAGGGUCCUCGUCUCGAUGAGCAUCUUCCCUCAUCGCAACAUCGGUUGAUAGUAUGUGACAUCGCAACGUCAAGUAGCUUGACAUCGUGACGUGACAUACUAUUUUGGCGACGUCACGAUGCAGAAAAGAUGAUGUCAUGACGGUCAUGGUGAAUGGUGAAUGGCAACAACGGUCAUGGUGAUUGAUGAUCGUAAACUGAAAAAACAAGUUUUUAAUUUUUAGGUUUUUGAAAGAUUUACAGAGAGAAUGAGAAGUGAGAGGGGGGACUGAAUAUUGGUAAUUAAGUUUUAUGUUGGCACAUAUAAGAAAUUGAAAGCAUGCAAGCAGUAGAUGCCGAAAAAAGCAGUGGUGAAAGUCUUGAGAAUUUUUAUAGAUCUGGACUUUUAUGAUGAAUUUUAAGAAAACUAAGAUGGGAAAGAAAGAGAGGAGAAUUUGAUGAUUAUUUUGGUGAAGAAUGGCAUGAUUCUGGGUUGUUCGCCGUUAGGGUGGCAAUUGUUAUCAGAAUCUGGAAUUUAAAAAUGUUUUUUUUUUGGCAAACAAUGAAGAUUCCGUUUGAAUGUUCUUCUCAAAGUUAAGAGAGAGGCAACACAUUUAACACAUUUAGUUUUUUUUUAAAAAUAUUUUUACAAAAAUAAAAAUAAAAUUUAAUUUAUUAAAGGGCAUAUUUAUUAUUCGAGUAUAUUUUUUUUACUAUUACAUAGCUAUACCUCUCAACCAAACACACAAAUACUAUUACAAUACUCAUUCCAUUAAAUCCAACCAAACCAUUGGUAUGCCUAUUUAAUUCCAUUAUAGUCUUAUUUCAUUUCUACAAAAUGACUAUUCCAUUAUAGUCUUAUUUCAGUUUAGUGAACCAAACGUGCUGUAAUGUAAGUGAUUGAUUUUAUUACGUGGUUACCAUCAAAGAUCCCCAAAUUGGCAAUAUCUCAUUCAAUCCCCCCACAAUUUCUCCUUUUAUUUCUUCACUAAAAAGUUUUUUUCCCCUUCCCUUUUUUUUUCUUUGAUAUUUUCCAUCAAGCUUUGGGAAGAUGGUUUUGCUCUCUUGACAUCAAGAAUGGAAGGUUUGUUCUUUUAUUUUUGAAAAAUUAGAAUUAAAUUGUAUAUUUUUACGAUAAUAAAAAUGUAAAAAUCCGAAAUUUAAUACGAAAUUUAAAGGAUUAUAUUUUUUAACAUGUUUAAAAAUCUGAAUUUUUUGUUUAUUUCUGGUAGAAAAUAAUUAGAUUAGAGAAUCAUUAAUGUUAUUUAUGGAAAUUUAAGAUUGACUAUUCUUUAUUAAAAUAUACAACUACUUGUUGCAAUUCAAAUAUGCAAAAACCGAUUUAGGAUUUUGUUUUCCUCUUUGUUUCUUGAUGAUGAUGAUUGUACUGAUCCCACAUAUGCACCAAUUCUGGUAUAUGUUAGGGCAAGCACAGCAAAUCAAUAAGGAAAUGUUGGUAGAGGAAAGCCUUGGACCGGAAUUACCAACCUCAAGAUGUUUGGUCAACAAUAUUUUAAUCAAGCAUUAACUUGGUGGUAAGUGUUAGAGACAAGUUUCACCAGUGUUUUGAAAUUUUCAUUAGAGCUACCAUUGGGUUUAACAGCCUUGCAAGCCAGCUCUUUUUGAACUCUAAUUUUCUCUCUCAUUUUCUUCCCUUCUUGGCUGCACAAUAUCAACUUCAAUGCUUUCUUUGCUCCUUCUUUUGUCAAUGUUCCACCUUCUAACCCCAACCCAAAUCCCCAUACAACCUCCACUGUACGAGUGUUCAAUUGUUGGUCUCCAAAAAAUGGCCUGCAGAUCAUUGGCACACAUCCAUUAAUACUUUCCAGGACUGAAUUCCAUCCGACAUGACUUACAAAAGCCCCAACUGAUGGAUGUUCCAAUAUUUUCUGCUGAGGAGCCCAUGGAACUAUCUUUCCUUUGGAGCUGGUUCUUUCCAGGAAUCCUAGUGGCAGCUGUUUCUCAGGACUUCCCCUCAAAGACCAAAGAUAUGGAAACUCACAUUCUUCCAGGGCUUCACAUAAUGCAUGUAGCUCAUGGGGUGGUGGGGUUAUCACGCUUCCAAAGCUGAUGUAUACCACCGACGCUGCCUCAUGCUUGCUCAUCCAAUCCAAGGUCCCAUGCGAGUCAUCCACUGUGGAACUGGAAACUGAUACCAGAUUGAAGGGACCAACGUUGAGGAACGUACUGAAUCUUAAUUUCAGCAUGUUCACCACUGUAUUAUCCAAGUCUUCGUAUGAAUUUGUGGCAACUGCCGCGGCGCGUGACAGUGACACUCCCAUUUUAUACAACAAUGCCGGCAUGGGGGCGUCAAUGUCUCCGGAGGUUAAUCCAUUGGGUAAGUCAGCAACACGUAUGCUAGAAAAAUGGGGAAGAAAAUGAAGUGGUUUGUCUUUAGGACCUGCAAAUUUAUGAAUAUUCAUAUUUGUUCAGCACCCAAUUGUUUUUGGAGGUAACAAAGUGUAAUUUUAAUAUUAAAAUCAACAACUUUUAUACCUAAAAGUCUUAGGUUAAAGGUUUAAAGUUUUUUUAAUAUAUUAGCUUUCAGUAAAUUCUUCAAAAAUCCUAUAGAUUGCAAUUAAUAUGCUUCACGGUCAAUUUAAUUAAUUGAUUUUGGACCAAUUGUUGUUGUAACAAGAAUAAAGUUAUUCUCUUUCAUGCAUGAAAUUGGUAAGUUUAUGAGCUAGUGUGUUAAAACCUACCUACCUAAUAAAAACCAUCCAUAUCCUACCUAUCACAAAAAAGGGAUUCAAAAGUUAUUAAGCUAGUUAGGUUGAGUAGUAAUUUUUUUAGAUUAAAAUUAAAUUGUAUAAUUUUACGAUAAUAACAAUAUAAUUUUAUCAUUUUAAUAAUCUAUAUCAUAUGUAUGAAUCUUUACCGUUAAUUCCUACAUGGUGACGAAUAAUAUCGGAGUCGACAUGAACGAAGAGUGCCCUGGGACUAGCGGUCCAAAGAGCCACCCAAGGGAUGUUAAGCUGAUCCGCGAUAUCUGCCCCAAAUGCAUAAAAUGCAUCUGUUAUCAAACAAUCAAAUGGUUUACCAGUUUCAAACACAACAGCAUUUAUAGCCUUCAUAAAAUUUCCAGGUACCGCCUUAAGGAAAUAGUCGACUGGCUCGUGAGGAUUUCCCCUAAAACUAUACCCCACAGGUAAUCCAUCCCAUACAUUAAAAGGCUUGAUUUUAUCAAGAUUUUUGGGAAAAGUUGAGUUGUUGGAUUGUUGGGUGCUAAGGAAGGAAAACAUGGUGUGGGGGCAGGCGUCUGAUAGCUGGCGGAUGAGGUUGAGAAGAGGGACAGCAUGGGUGCCGAAGGGGAAAGCCAACACUGCUAUGUGUU
RNAcentral lists this long non-coding RNA (18229 nucleotides) under Gossypium barbadense (sea-island cotton). RNAcentral's name for it is "long non-coding RNA (GBAR_LNC015231)". The record is from RNAcentral. Lineage: Eukaryota; Viridiplantae; Streptophyta; Magnoliopsida; Malvales; Malvaceae.